AUGGCGGAAAUUGUAGCUCAGUCCAUCCAGUUAAAGGAUGUGAAGAUGAUUAUGAUAGUACAUCCAGCUUUGAAUUUCAUAAAGGGGAGAGAUCAUCAAUGCAGCAGCAUUCAAGGUCAUUUUCACGCCCUAUGUCUUCCAAGUGGAAUGAUGCCGAGAAGUGGAUAAUCAAUAGACAACCUAAUUAUCAUUCCAACAAGAUCCAAU
This 207-nucleotide unclassified non-coding RNA is filed under the name Hevea brasiliensis (rubber tree). Lineage: Eukaryota; Viridiplantae; Streptophyta; Magnoliopsida; Malpighiales; Euphorbiaceae. The record is from RNAcentral.